Molecule: ribosomal RNA, 793 nt
Filed under: uncultured bacterium
Lineage: Bacteria
Description: bacterial SSU rRNA
Rfam family: Bacterial small subunit ribosomal RNA
Source: RNAcentral
AGAGUUUGAUCCUGGCUCAGAUUGAACGCUGGCGGCAUGCCUUACACAUGCAAGUCGAACGGCAGCACGGAGCUUGCUCUGGUGGCGAGUGGCGAACGGGUGAGUAAUAUAUCGGAACGUACCCUAGAGUGGGGGAUAACGUAGCGAAAGUUACGCUAAUACCGCAUACGAUCUAAGGAUGAAAGUGGGGGAUCGCAAGACCUCAUGCUCGUGGAGCGGCCGAUAUCUGAUUAGCUAGUUGGUAGGGUAAAAGCCUACCAAGGCAUCGAUCAGUAGCUGGUCUGAGAGGACGACCAGCCACACUGGAACUGAGGCACGGUCCAGACUCCUACGGGAGGCGGCAGUGGGGAAUUUUGGACAAUGGGCGAAAGCCUGAUCCAGCAAUGCCGCGUGAGUGAAGAAGGCCUUCGGGUUGUAAAGCUCUUUUGUCAGGGAAGAAACGGUGGGAGCUAAUAUCUCUUGCUAAUGACGGUACCUGAAGAAUAAGCACCGGCUAACUACGUGCCAGCAGCCGCGGUAAUACGUAGGGUGCAAGCGUUAAUCGGAAUUACUGGGCGUAAAGCGUGCGCAGGCGGUUUUGUAAGUCUGAUGUGAAAUCCCCGGGCUCAACCUGGGAAUUGCAUUGGAGACUGCAAGGCUAGAAUCUGGCAGAGGGGGGUAGAAUUCCACGUGUAGCAGUGAAAUGCGUAGAUAUGUGGAGGAACACCGAUGGCGAAGGCAGCCCCCUGGGUCAAGAUAGACGCUCAUGCACGAAAGCGUGGGGAGCAAACAGGAUUAGAUACCCUGGUAGUCC